UACGUAGGGGGCAAGCGUUGUCCGGAAUCAUUGGGCGUAAAGCGCGUGUAGGCGGCUCGAUAAGUCUGCUGUGAAAGUCCAGGGCUCAACCCUGGGAUGCCGGUGGAUACUGUCGAGCUCGAGUCCGGAAGAGGAGUGUGGAAUUCCUGGUGUAGCGGUGAAAUGCGCAGAUAUCAGGAGGAACACCAAUGGCGAAGGCAGCACUCUGGGACGUGACUGACGCUGAGACGCGAAAGCGUGGGAGCAACAAGGAU
Molecule: ribosomal RNA, 254 nt
Filed under: uncultured bacterium
Lineage: Bacteria
Description: partial 16S ribosomal RNA
Rfam family: Bacterial small subunit ribosomal RNA
Source: RNAcentral